UCGGGAAUUUUGCGCAAUGGAGGAAACUCUGACGCAGUGACGCCGCGUGCAGGAAGAAGGUUUUCGGAUUGUAAACUGCUUUAGACAGGGAAGAAAAAGGACAGUACCUGUAGAAUAAGCUCCGGCUAACUACGUGCCAGCAGCCGCGGUAAUACGUAGGGAGCAAGCGUUAUCCGGAUUUAUUGGGUUUAAAGGGUGCGCAGGCGGGCGUCUAAGUCAGCGGUGAAAGUUCCCGGCUCAACCGGGUCAGUGCCGAUGAUACUGGGGGCCUUGAAUGCGGUCGAGGCCGGCGGAAUGUGGCGUGUAGCGGUGAAAUGCAUAGAUAUGCCACAGAACACCGAUAGCGAAGGCAGCUGGCCGGGCCUGCAUUGACGCUGAGGCACGAAAGCGUGGGGAUCGAACAGGAUUAGAUACCCUGGUAGU
RNAcentral lists this ribosomal RNA (423 nucleotides) under uncultured Oscillospiraceae bacterium. Its description in RNAcentral is "bacterial SSU rRNA". It matches the Rfam family "Bacterial small subunit ribosomal RNA", at positions 355 to 794 of the family's 1533-position model. The record is from RNAcentral. Lineage: Bacteria; Bacillati; Bacillota; Clostridia; Eubacteriales; Oscillospiraceae.